UUGCAUCUCUGUUCCAGCUGUUUCACCCGUUUACAUAAAUUAUUCUCACGAUACAAUAUCACAGCGUCUAAACUAAACGAAAACAUUGGAAAGGCAAAAAUGCAAACUUUCAAGUUGUAACUUUUAAGUACUAUACAUGACCUGUUUAACCGUAUCACAUAAGGAGAGUCAGCCGAGUCAGUCAUACUAUACAGACAACAAGUCAACAAGUUCCUUCUGGGUUAAACGGAAUCUUCAGAAGAGAAACCAUGAUCCAUACUAUGAGUAAGAUUGUCAAACAAUUGAAAAUAGAGGAAAGCAAAAGAAGAGUUAAACGUUGAACGAAGAAGUUUGGAUUAGAUUGGACAUUUCUUCGCCACAAUAUAAAUCAUUACGUGAUGGUAAACGAGUUGAAUGAUUAUAGUCGCCUUCAGUAUAUUUAGCGUAAUUGCAAGUUCGACAUUGGUUUUAUAUAGCGAAUGCUCGACAUUGGUUGAUUG
Bombus pyrosoma is the source of this 479-nucleotide long non-coding RNA. RefSeq lists it as uncharacterized. NCBI's taxonomy places the organism in Eukaryota, Metazoa, Arthropoda, Insecta, Hymenoptera, Apidae. The transcript has 3 exons. The record is from RefSeq and is a predicted model, not a curated record.